Molecule: ribosomal RNA, 783 nt
Filed under: Coniella granati
Lineage: Eukaryota; Fungi; Ascomycota; Sordariomycetes; Diaporthales; Schizoparmaceae
Description: partial large subunit ribosomal RNA
Rfam family: Eukaryotic large subunit ribosomal RNA
Source: RNAcentral
AGCUCAAAUUUGAAAUCUGGCUUCGGCCCGAGUUGUAAUUUGCAGAGGAUGUUUCUGGCGCGGUGCCUUCCGAGUUCCCUGGAACGGGACGCCACAGAGGGUGAGAGCCCCGUAUGGUUGGAUACUAAGCCUGUGUGAAACUCCUUCAACGAGUCGAGUAGUUUGGGAAUGCUGCUCAAAAUGGGAGGUAAAUCUCUUCUAAAGCUAAAUAUUGGCCAGAGACCGAUAGCGCACAAGUAGAGUGAUCGAAAGAUGAAAAGCACCUUGAAAAGGGGGUUAAACAGUACGUGAAAUUGUUGAAAGGGAAGCGCUCAUGACCAGACUUGUGCUGGGCAGCUCAUCCGGGGUUCUCCCCGGUGCACUCUGCCCAGUUCAGGCCAGCAUCGAUUUUUGCUGGGGGAUAAGAACGGUAGGAACGUGGCCCUCCUUCGGGUGGGUGUUAUAGCCUACCGUACGAUACCCUGGUGGAGAUCGAGGUUCGCGCAUCUGCAAGGAUGCUGGCGUAAUGGUCAUCAGCGACCCGUCUUGAAACACGGACCAAGGAGUCGUCCAUUAGAGCGAGCGUUUGGGUGUAAAACCCGCACGCGUAAUGAAAGUGAAAUUAGGUGAGAGCUUCGGCGCAUCAUCGACCGAUCCUGAUGUUCUCGGAUGGAUUUGAGUAAGAGUUUUAACGGACGGACCCGAAAGACAGUGAACUAUGCUUGUAUAGGGUGAAGCCAGAGGAAACUCUGGUGGAGGCUCGCAGCGGUUCUGACGUGCAAAUCGAUCGUCAAAUAUGAGCAU